CAGCAAUUUUCGUCCAAGCACAAACCGCAAACAUUUUCGCGCGUUUGUUUACGUUUGAAGCGGGGCGUUUACCGUUGGAAACGGAAAUGUUUCACUGCUCAUUCGACGUGUUAUAGUGAAAAGCCUAAUUCAAUUAUUUUUCAUGUUUUGAUGUGCUUUCGUGUACUUUUCAGUGUUUCCAAGCUCACGAUAUUGUAAGAGCGACC
Paramuricea clavata is the source of this 206-nucleotide non-coding RNA. NCBI's taxonomy places the organism in Eukaryota, Metazoa, Cnidaria, Anthozoa, Malacalcyonacea, Plexauridae. The record is from the annotation of a GenBank genome assembly.